This 275-nucleotide ribosomal RNA is filed under the name uncultured Azospira sp. RNAcentral describes it as "partial 16S ribosomal RNA". It matches the Rfam family "Bacterial small subunit ribosomal RNA", at positions 338 to 605 of the family's 1533-position model. Lineage: Bacteria; Pseudomonadati; Pseudomonadota; Betaproteobacteria; Rhodocyclales; Rhodocyclaceae. The record is from RNAcentral.
CCUACGGGUGGCUGCAGUGGGGAAUUUUGGACAAUGGGGGCAACCCUGAUCCAGCCAUGCCGCGUGAGUGAAGAAGGCCUUCGGGUUGUAAAGCUCUUUCGGCGGGGAAGAAAUGGCAACGGCUAAUAUCCGUUGUUGAUGACGGUACCCGCAUAAGAAGCACCGGCUAACUACGUGCCAGCAGCCGCGGUAAUACGUAGGGUGCGAGCGUUAAUCGGAAUUACUGGGCGUAAAGCGUGCGCAGGCGGUUUCGUAAGACAGACGUGAAAUCCCCG